This 1399-nucleotide ribosomal RNA is filed under the name uncultured bacterium. RNAcentral describes it as "bacterial SSU rRNA". It matches the Rfam family "Bacterial small subunit ribosomal RNA". The record is from RNAcentral.
AGAGUUUGAUCCUGGCUCAGAUUGAACGCUGGCGGCAGGCUUAACACAUGCAAGUCGAGCGGGGAAGAGUAGCUUGCUACUUUACCUAGCGGCGGACGGGUGAGUAAUGCUUAGGAAUCUGCCUAUUAGUGGGGGACAACAUCUCGAAAGGGAUGCUAAUACCGCAUACGUCCUACGGGAGAAAGCAGGGGACCUUCGGGCCUUGCGCUAAUAGAUGAGCCUAAGUCGGAUUAGCUAGUUGGUGGGGUAAAGGCCUACCAAGGCGACGAUCUGUAGCGGGUCUGAGAGGAUGAUCCGCCACACUGGGACUGAGACACGGCCCAGACUCCUACGGGAGGCAGCAGUGGGGAAUAUUGGACAAUGGGGGGAACCCUGAUCCAGCCAUGCCGCGUGUGUGAAGAAGGCCUUUUGGUUGUAAAGCACUUUAAGCGAGGAGGAGGCUACCGAGAUUAAUACUCUUGGAUAGUGGACGUUACUCGCAGAAUAAGCACCGGCUAACUCUGUGCCAGCAGCCGCGGUAAUACAGAGGGUGCAAGCGUUAAUCGGAUUUACUGGGCGUAAAGCGCGCGUAGGUGGCCAAUUAAGUCAAAUGUGAAAUCCCCGAGCUUAACUUGGGAAUUGCAUUCGAUACUGGUUGGCUAGAGUAUGGGAGAGGAUGGUAGAAUUCCAGGUGUAGCGGUGAAAUGCGUAGAGAUCUGGAGGAAUACCGAUGGCGAAGGCAGGUCUCUGGGCAUUUACUGACGCUGAGGAGCGAAAGCAUGGGGAGCGAACAGGAUUAGAUACCCUGGUAGUCCAUGCCGUAAACGUUGGGCACUAGGUGUGGGGGACGUUCCACGUUUUCCGCGCCGUAGCUAACGCAUUAAGUGCCCCGCCUGGGGAGUACGGCCGCAAGGCUAAAACUCAAAGGAAUUGACGGGGGCCCGCACAAGCGGCGGAGCAUGCGGAUUAAUUCGAUGCAACGCGAAGAACCUUACCAAGGCUUGACAUGUUCCAGACCGCCUCAGAGAUGGGGUUUCCCUUCGGGGCUGGUUCACAGGUGGUGCAUGGUUGUCGUCAGCUCGUGUCGUGAGAUGUUGGGUUAAGUCCCGCAACGAGCGCAACCCUCGUUCCAUGUUGCCAGCGGGUUAUGCCGGGGACUCAUGGGAGACUGCCGGGGUCAACUCGGAGGAAGGUGGGGAUGACGUCAAAUCAUCAUGCCCCUUAUGUCUUGGGCUUCACGCAUGCUACAAUGGCCGGUACAAUGGGUUGCGAUACUGUGAGGUGGAGCUAAUCCCUAAAAGCCGGUCUCAGUUCGGAUUGGGGUCUGCAACUCGACCCCAUGAAGUCGGAGUCGCUAGUAAUCGCAGAUCAGCAACGCUGCGGUGAAUACGUUCCCGGGCCUUGCACACACCGCCCGUCA